Molecule: small nuclear RNA, 107 nt
Filed under: Octopus vulgaris (common octopus)
Lineage: Eukaryota; Metazoa; Mollusca; Cephalopoda; Octopoda; Octopodidae
Also listed under: 1 other name
Source: RNAcentral
GUACUAGCUAUGGCAGUACAUAUUCUAAAAUUGGAACGAUGCAGAGAAGAUUAGCAUGGCUCCUGUGCAAGGAUGACAUGCAAAUUCGUGAAGUAUUCCAUAUUUUU